RNAcentral lists this transfer RNA (75 nucleotides) under Enterobacter cloacae. Its description in RNAcentral is "tRNA-Ile". It matches the Rfam family "tRNA". Rfam says of the family: Transfer RNA (tRNA) molecules are approximately 80 nucleotides in length. Their secondary structure includes four short double-helical elements and three loops (D, anti-codon, and T loops). The record is from RNAcentral. Lineage: Bacteria; Pseudomonadati; Pseudomonadota; Gammaproteobacteria; Enterobacterales; Enterobacteriaceae.
UUGUCUGUAGCUAAGCGGUAAAGCUACCAAAUCAUAAUUAGAUUAUCGCUGGUUAGAAUCCAGACGGGCGACCCA